UCCUUGGACCACAACCACUCCUCCUCCCAGCGUUUGUGAGGAGACAAGAGAUGGAGCCGGUCCGGCCGGGAGAGCAAAUGAGGUGACAGUGCAGCCCCACUGGAACUUUGUCUUGAAGAUAGCCAGGACAUCAUCAAUUCCGGUACAAGUGCAAGAAAGAAUCACCAGACACUGGAUAGUAUAGAAUGGAACGCUGUCUUUAAGAUAUCCAGGACAUCAUCAAUUCCAGUAGAAUUGCAAGACAGAAUCACCAGACACUGGAUAGCAUAGAAUGGUAUUUCACAAAGGCAAUUUCAAAGAUCACCCUAAUGGAGAAGAGCAAAAUACAUAUACACCAACAGCAUUGCAUAAUACGUGUAUUUCACAAAGGCAAUUUCAAAAGAUCACACUAAUGAAGAAUCGCAAAGUCCAAGAGAAGCAUGAAAACUGUAUACACUAUUUUUAGUAAAAUUUGUAAAUACAAAUACAUUAACAUAAUAAAAAGUGCAUCUUUAUUGCA
Long non-coding RNA from Pseudophryne corroboree (corroboree frog), 499 nucleotides. RefSeq lists it as uncharacterized. The transcript is spliced from 5 exons. Lineage: Eukaryota; Metazoa; Chordata; Amphibia; Anura; Myobatrachidae. The record is from RefSeq and is a predicted model, not a curated record.